AAGUCGAACGGCAGCGCGUGAGCAAAUCCUGGCGGCGAGUGGCGAACGGGUGAGUAAUACAUCGGAACGUGUCCUGUAGUGGGGGAUAGCCCGGCGAAAGCCGGAUUAAUACCGCAUACGAUCUACGGAUGAAAGCGGGGGAUCGCAAGACCUCGCGCUAUAGGGGCGGCCGAUGGCGGAUUAGCUAGUUGGUGGGGUAAAGGCCCACCAAGGCGACGAUCCGUAGCUGGUCUGAGAGGACGACCAGCCACACUGGGACUGAGACACGGCCCAGACUCCUACGGGAGGCAGCAGUGGGGAAUUUUGGACAAUGGGCGCAAGCCUGAUCCAGCAAUGCCGCGUGUGUGAAGAAGGCCUUCGGGUUGUAAAGCACUUUUGUCCGGAAAGAAAUCCUCUGGGUUAAUACCCCGGGGGGAUGACGGUACCGGAAGAAUAAGCACCGGCUAACUACGUGCCAGCAGCCGCGGUAAUACGUAGGGUGCGAGCGUUUAUCGGAAUUACUGGGCGUAAAGCGUGCGCAGGCGGUGA
This 528-nucleotide ribosomal RNA is filed under the name Burkholderia sp. Mf96. RNAcentral's name for it is "bacterial SSU rRNA". It matches the Rfam family "Bacterial small subunit ribosomal RNA", at positions 59 to 581 of the family's 1533-position model. The record is from RNAcentral. Lineage: Bacteria; Pseudomonadati; Pseudomonadota; Betaproteobacteria; Burkholderiales; Burkholderiaceae.